RNAcentral lists this transfer RNA (72 nucleotides) under Capra hircus (goat). It matches the Rfam family "tRNA". Rfam says of the family: Transfer RNA (tRNA) molecules are approximately 80 nucleotides in length. Their secondary structure includes four short double-helical elements and three loops (D, anti-codon, and T loops). RNAcentral also lists the same sequence under 1 other name. The record is from Rfam by way of RNAcentral. Lineage: Eukaryota; Metazoa; Chordata; Mammalia; Artiodactyla; Bovidae.
UCCUUGGUGGCUCAGAUGGUAAAGAAUCUGCUUGCAAUGCAGAAGACUCAGGUUUGAGCCCUGUGUCAGGAA